This 119-nucleotide small nucleolar RNA is filed under the name Sander lucioperca (pikeperch). RNAcentral describes it as "Small nucleolar RNA SNORA26 (ENSSLUG00000014127.1)". It matches the Rfam family "Small nucleolar RNA SNORA26". From Rfam's summary of the family: The snoRNA HBI-6 belong to the H/ACA family of snoRNAs, guiding the pseudouridylation of position U4522 if the 28S rRNA. HBI-6 is the human orthologue of mouse MBI-6 snoRNA. Lineage: Eukaryota; Metazoa; Chordata; Actinopteri; Perciformes; Percidae. The record is from Rfam by way of RNAcentral.
UUGCCCACUCGAGGCUGUGUGUGUCUUGACUGGCCGUUAACGAAGGGUAGAAAAAGUCUCCCUGUAAACCUGGGCCAGGAGCUCCACUCCUGCCCCUGGACCUGUUGGGAGGAACACUU